This 1011-nucleotide ribosomal RNA is filed under the name Triticum aestivum (bread wheat). Its description in RNAcentral is "partial small subunit ribosomal RNA". The record is from RNAcentral. Lineage: Eukaryota; Viridiplantae; Streptophyta; Magnoliopsida; Poales; Poaceae.
AUGGCGCGCGCCAAGGGCAGGAAGCGCGCGGCCGCGGCGGCCGGCGACAGCCAGGCGGAGGCGGCGGCGAACGGCGGCCGGCCGAAGCGCGCCAAGGCGCCCCCCAAGCCCAAGCCGGAGCCGGAGUACGUCCACGAGCCGAGGAAUCUGGAGGAUCUUUGGCUGUCGGCUUUUCCUAUAGGGACUGAGUGGGAAAAUAUUGAUAAGAUUAAGGAGUUCAACUGGAACUUUGAAAAUUUAGAGAAAGCUCUAGAAGAAGGGGGCAAGCUGUAUGGGAAGACGGUCUAUGUAUUUGGUAGCACUGAGCCUCAACUGUUGAAUGUUGACGGUGAAUCGAAGAUAGUACUUAUUCCAGUUGUAGUUGCGGUUGAUUGCCCCUUCCCUCCAUCAGAUAAAAUUGGUAUAAAUUCUGUCCAAAGGGAAAAUGAAGAAAUAGUACCAAUGAGGGCGAUGAAAAUGGCUUGGGUGCCCUAUGUUCCACUAGAGGACCGGCUCAGCAGAAUUGACAGUUUGAAAACAAAAAUAUUCACUCUUGGCUGCACUCAGCGAAGGUCUGCCCUGAAGCAUCUCAAAGAAGAAAGAGUGAAGAAGUUUGACUACUGCAUGCCUUAUUAUAUGCCACUUAGUCCUCCUGAAGAUGAAGAUGACACAGUUGUCAAUAUCAUGUAUCCUCUAGAACCCCCGAUAGUAUGCGACUUCGACUGGGAAAUGGAUGAUAUGGAGGAUUUUAUUGAUGAGAAAGUCAAAGACGAGGUCUUGCCGGAGGAUGAGAAGGAAAAAUUCAAGGACUUCAUAAAGGAGAGAGUUAGAGAAAGGAAGAGAGAGCUGAAGCAGGCUAAAGAAGCCAGAAAGAAAGCUAUUGAUGAUAUGGAUCCAAAGUUGAAAGAGGCAUUUGAAAAUAUCCGGUUUUACAAAUUUUAUCCUGUAAAAACCGAUGACACUCCUGAUGUGAGCCAAGUACAGGCGAAGUACAUUAAUAGAUACUACCGCCAUGCGCAUGAACUGAUGUGA